Molecule: non-coding RNA, 254 nt
Organism: Podarcis lilfordi (Lilford's wall lizard)
Lineage: Eukaryota; Metazoa; Chordata; Lepidosauria; Squamata; Lacertidae
Source: the annotation of a GenBank genome assembly
AGCGGCAGCCUCAGCAGCCCGGAGCCAGCCUAGUAGCACAGUUGGCUCUGGCUGGCUUCAAGAGCUGCUUGCUGCUUGCUGCCAUGGCGCCCGCCAUUUUUCCUCGCCAGAAGUCCCCAUAUGAUGUGUUGCGCACAAGAUAUGGAGACUUCCCAGAGGCAGACUGGCGGGCGCCACGGCAGCAAGCAGUUCCUGACGCCAGCCAGAGCCAACUGUGCUACCAGGCUGGCUCCAGGCUGCUGACUGCCGCCGCU